RNAcentral lists this ribosomal RNA (159 nucleotides) under uncultured Prevotella sp. RNAcentral's name for it is "partial 16S ribosomal RNA". The stretch from base 31 to 159 matches the Rfam family "Bacterial small subunit ribosomal RNA", at positions 401 to 527 of the family's 1533-position model. Lineage: Bacteria; Pseudomonadati; Bacteroidota; Bacteroidia; Bacteroidales; Prevotellaceae. The record is from RNAcentral.
UGNNNNGGGCGANACCUGACCGCCAGUAGCGUGCAGGAUGACGGCCCUAUGGGUUGUAAACUGCUUUUAUAUGGGAAUAAAGUGAGGGACGUGUCCCUUAUUGCAUGUACCAUACGAAUAAGGACCGGCUAAUUCCGUGCCAGCAGCCGCGGUAAUACA